Molecule: ribosomal RNA, 463 nt
Filed under: uncultured Actinomycetes bacterium
Lineage: Bacteria; Bacillati; Actinomycetota; Actinomycetes
Description: bacterial SSU rRNA
Rfam family: Bacterial small subunit ribosomal RNA
Source: RNAcentral
UGGGGAAUAUUGGACAAUGGGCGAAAGCCUGAUCCAGCAACGCCGCGUGAGGGAUGACGGCCUUCGGGUUGUAAACCUCUUUCAGUAGGGACGAAGCUAACGUGACGGUACCUACAGAAGAAGCACCGGCCAACUACGUGCCAGCAGCCGCGGUAAUACGUAGGGUGCGAGCGUUGUCCGGAAUUAUUGAGCGUAAAGGGCUCGUAGGCGGUUUGUCGCGUCAGGAGUGAAAACUCGGGGCUUAACUCCGAGCCUGCUUCUGAUACGGGCAGACUAGAGGUAUGCAGGGGAGAACGGAAUUCCUGGUGUAGCGGUGAAAUGCGCAGAUAUCAGGAGGAACACCGGUGGCGAAGGCGGUUCUCUGGGCAUUACCUGACGCUGAGGAGCGAAAGUGUGGGGAGCGAACAGGAUUAGAUACCCUGGUAGUCCACACCGUAAACGUUGGGCGCUAGGUGUGGGACUC